AUUCCGUAGGUGAACCUGCGGAAGGAUCAUUAGUGAAUUGAAUAUGUUAGCGGACCCCUUCGGAGUCCCUAGCAUCAAAUCAUAUCCAUAACACCUGUGAACUGUAAGGCUGUCUUGAAAACGAAAGUGAUUAGAGCGCCUGCCCAUUUUAUACAAACAUUAAAGUAACAAACGUAGUCUUAUUAUAAUCUAUAAAACUUUCAACAACGGAUCUCUUGGCUCUC
This 224-nucleotide unclassified non-coding RNA is filed under the name plant metagenome. RNAcentral's name for it is "partial contains small subunit ribosomal RNA, internal transcribed spacer 1, and 5.8S ribosomal RNA". The record is from RNAcentral.